UAUGUGAUCGUCUCUCGCAUAUCAAUAAGCGGAGGAAAAGAAACUAACAAGGAUUCCCCUAGUAACGGCGAGUGAAGCGGGAAGAGCUCAAAUUUGAAAUCUUAAAGGGUUUCCCUUUACGAAUUGUAGUUUAAAGAAGUGUUUUCUGUUGAGGUUUUGGUAAAAGUUCUUUGGAAGUAGGACAUCAUAGAGGGUGAGAAUCCCGUAUUUGACCUUUACUUUCAACUUUGUGAUACACUUUCAAAGAGUCGGAUUGUUUGGGAAUGCAGUCCAAAAUGGGUGGUAAAUUUCAUCUAAAGCUAAAUAUUGGCGAGAGACCGAUAGCGAACAAGUACCGUGAGGGAAAGAUGAAAAGAACUUUGAAAAGAGAGUUAAACAGUACGUGAAAUUGUCAAAAGGGAAGCGUUUGACACCAGUGUUGUUUUUCUGAAAAUCAAUUAAAGAACUGUUUAUGCUAAGUUGUUUAGACUUUAUCAGCUAUCUGCUUAGUUUUGAGCUUUUCUUUAAUGCACUUUUCAGUUAACAAGUCAACAUCAAUUUCUUUUGCUGUAAAAAAGCUUGAGGAAGGUGGCUUGAGAUUCGUCUUAAGUGUUUAUAGCCUCUUGCCUAUGCAGUCGGAGAGAUUGAGGUCUGCAGCGUAGAUCCUUCGGGGCUAAAUGCAUUUGUGCUAAGUUAUAGCAUUUUAUAGACAACUUGUUGACUAUGAUUUGUCUUGUAGCUUACUCGCUUAUGUUAUUUUACCUACGCUUAGGAUGUUGACACACGCGCGUGCUCG
Molecule: ribosomal RNA, 775 nt
Filed under: uncultured Neocallimastigales
Lineage: Eukaryota; Fungi; Neocallimastigomycota; Neocallimastigomycetes; Neocallimastigales
Description: partial large subunit ribosomal RNA
Rfam family: Eukaryotic large subunit ribosomal RNA
Source: RNAcentral